Molecule: ribosomal RNA, 192 nt
Filed under: Salmonella enterica
Lineage: Bacteria; Pseudomonadati; Pseudomonadota; Gammaproteobacteria; Enterobacterales; Enterobacteriaceae
Also listed under: 1 other name
Description: partial 16S ribosomal RNA
Rfam family: Bacterial small subunit ribosomal RNA
Source: RNAcentral
AAAUUGAAGAGUUUGAUCAUGGCUCAGAUUGAACGCUGGCGGCAGGCCUAACACAUGCAAGUCGAACGGUAACAGGAAGCAGCUUGCUGCUUCGCUGACGAGUGGCGGACGGGUGAGUAAUGUCUGGGAAACUGCCUGAUGGAGGGGGAUAACUACUGGAAACGGUAGCUAAUACCGCAUAAUGUCGCAGGA